This is a long non-coding RNA of Pan troglodytes (chimpanzee), 1658 nucleotides long. RefSeq lists it as uncharacterized. The record is from RefSeq and is a predicted model, not a curated record. Lineage: Eukaryota; Metazoa; Chordata; Mammalia; Primates; Hominidae. The transcript is spliced from 3 exons.
AUUCAUGUACUUAUUUCAAAGAUCUCAAAGUGGUUUUUGCACCCUUGUCACCAUUACAAAGCUGGAAAUAAAAUCUGAAUUGCCCAAAGCAUUGGAGGAGGCCGUGCAGUGGAGUGAAAACGUCUCCUGACUGCGAGGCAGUCUGAUGGCUCUGCCAUUAACUAAUGAGAGACUUCAGAGCCCACUGUGGCUUUGCCAGCCUUCUGGACUCCGACAGUGCUUACCAUCUGUGUCUGUCCUUUGGCAACUAGCCAAACUCAACUCAGUUCAAUUCAACCAACUUCCAUAGAGCUGCACUGUUGGCAGGAAGCACUCACAGUCUCAAGGAGUGGGGAAAGCAUUUCCUAUCCAUGGCGCCUCAAUUGUACUUUUAAAACAACCUUGGCAUGGAAAAGAACCUUUCCCGAGACUCUUUGAAAGUCUAAAUACAUGAUUGUAAAUUACUUCCCUUUGUCAACACCCUUGAUUACCAUUUUGGAAAUGAGUUCCAGGUGAUGGAUAAACAGAUGAUUAUUUGACAGAUUUCUGCAUUGAAUGCUGCAAAGUAAAGCUCAGAAGGGUGCAUUGUGAAGAAUCUGAAAGCACAAACAGGGGCAUAGAGCAAGGCUUCUUUCAGUCAACGAAUUUUGAGGAAGGCAAAAUGCACAGAGUAUUGCAGAGGAACUCCAGGAAGAUGCUGUUUUUCAAAUUCAAAGGGGAGAAGAUGGUGUCUAUUGGUGGUGAGAACUUAAGUUCCACCACAGAAGACUAAACUCUGUUAAAGAAUCAAUGAAUAACAACUCCUGGGUUUCUGAACAUAGGGCUGAAUUGAUAGAAGUGGUGUUGCAGAAUUAUUCUAACCAUAACAUGAUAGAUUCAGCUGUAAGCCAGGAGAUUCUCUGUUUGCAUAUUUGACCUGAGGUAAUGAGAACAUGGAUUAAGCUUGUGGCAAUAAAACCAGAAAGGAAGGAGCAGAGGGAUCUGAGACAUGCUACCAAGAAUCAGAGCUAGAGAUUCAAAUUUGGCUAAAUAUAUGCCAAGUGGUAGGUGAAACCAUGUAAGAGACACUCUUCAAGGAAAUGGGUGUUGAGAGAGAAUAGCUGAGGACUGAGUCUUUGGGGAUUCCAACAGUUAAUGGGAGGAGGAAAGAAGAGGAGCCAGCAAAGGAGGCAGAGAAUGAUGGGUCAGAGAGAUAAGAAGAGAAAUUUGAGAAUGCAAUGCCACAAGAGCCAAGGGUAGGACAGUUACAGGAAGGAGUGGGUGGUUGAUGGUUUCAAAUUCAUCCUCGAGGUCAAAGAUGCAAAGGGAGCAGAGACCCCUGAAUUUGACCGGGAGGUCACUGGUGAACUGACUUAUAGAAAGUAGUUUUGGCAGAAAGCACUGGACUCUAGAAGGUUCAAGAGGAGGGAGAGGUGGGAAAAUGGAGGUAGCUCAUGAAUACCACCCAUUUGACACAAGUAAUGUGUGAGGACUGAGAAGAAGAAGGUCAAACUUUAUAAUUCCAGUCCUGCUACUUAACCAGUCUGAACCUCAGUUUCCUCUUUGGAAAAUGAGAAUCCUAUUAGCUCAUAAGGCUGUUGAAAUUAGAAAACAAGUUUAAAUGAUUAUUUUUAUGUUACAGUAAAGGGGUUUCUUCCUCCUUUCCUCUAAAAAAAAAAAAAAAAAAAAAAAAAAAAAAA